RNAcentral lists this transfer RNA (75 nucleotides) under Bulleidia extructa. RNAcentral describes it as "tRNA-Arg". It matches the Rfam family "tRNA". From Rfam's summary of the family: Transfer RNA (tRNA) molecules are approximately 80 nucleotides in length. Their secondary structure includes four short double-helical elements and three loops (D, anti-codon, and T loops). Further hydrogen bonds mediate the characteristic L-shaped molecular structure. tRNAs have two regions of fundamental functional importance: the anti-codon, which is responsible for specific mRNA codon recognition, and the 3' end, to which the tRNAs corresponding amino acid is attached (by aminoacyl-tRNA synthetases). tRNAs cope with the degeneracy of the genetic code in two manners: having more than one tRNA (with a specific anti-codon) for a particular amino acid; and 'wobble' base-pairing, i.e. permitting non-standard base-pairing at the 3rd anti-codon position. Lineage: Bacteria; Bacillati; Bacillota; Erysipelotrichia; Erysipelotrichales; Erysipelotrichaceae. The record is from RNAcentral. RNAcentral also lists the same sequence under 1 other name.
GUCCUCGUAGCUCAGCUGGAAUAGAGCUCACGCCUUCUAAGCGUGCGGUCAAGAGUUCGAAUCUCUUCGAGGACG